UGGGGAGUCGUCUAAUGGUAGGACACUGCCCUUUGGAGGCAGGUACGAUGGUUCGAAUCCAUCCUCCCCAGCCA
This 74-nucleotide transfer RNA is filed under the name Candidatus Nomurabacteria bacterium. RNAcentral's name for it is "tRNA-Gln". It matches the Rfam family "tRNA". Rfam says of the family: Transfer RNA (tRNA) molecules are approximately 80 nucleotides in length. Their secondary structure includes four short double-helical elements and three loops (D, anti-codon, and T loops). Further hydrogen bonds mediate the characteristic L-shaped molecular structure. tRNAs have two regions of fundamental functional importance: the anti-codon, which is responsible for specific mRNA codon recognition, and the 3' end, to which the tRNAs corresponding amino acid is attached (by aminoacyl-tRNA synthetases). tRNAs cope with the degeneracy of the genetic code in two manners: having more than one tRNA (with a specific anti-codon) for a particular amino acid; and 'wobble' base-pairing, i.e. permitting non-standard base-pairing at the 3rd anti-codon position. The record is from RNAcentral. Lineage: Bacteria; Candidatus Nomuraibacteriota.